CCACCUGAGGAGCGUUGCGACGACCGGCAUCCCCGCCAGGCCGCCAGGCUCAGGUAACGGAUCGGCCGCGGCCCGCCAGGGCGGCACCGGUCCACGGCAACGGCGCUCGCCCCAC
RNAcentral lists this non-coding RNA (115 nucleotides) under Bordetella sp. RNAcentral describes it as "SAH sequence". It matches the Rfam family "SAH (S-adenosyl-L-homocysteine) riboswitch aptamer". The record is from RNAcentral. Lineage: Bacteria; Pseudomonadati; Pseudomonadota; Betaproteobacteria; Burkholderiales; Alcaligenaceae.